RNAcentral lists this unclassified non-coding RNA (231 nucleotides) under plant metagenome. RNAcentral's name for it is "partial contains small subunit ribosomal RNA, internal transcribed spacer 1, and 5.8S ribosomal RNA". The record is from RNAcentral.
UUUCCGUAGGUGAACCUGCGGAAGGAUCAUUCAUAAUAAAGUGUUUUAUGGCACUUUUUAAAAAAUCCAUAUCCACCUUGUGUGCAAUGUUAGAUCUCGUCAAUCUUGGCGAGAUUUUUAUACAUCAACUCAUUCUUUAACUAAUUUGUCUGGAAAAUAUUAUGAACACUUAAUUCAAAAUACAACUUUCAACAACGAAUCUCUUGGCUCUCGCAUCGAUGCAGAACCAGC